This 519-nucleotide ribosomal RNA is filed under the name uncultured Bacteroidota bacterium. RNAcentral's name for it is "bacterial SSU rRNA". It matches the Rfam family "Bacterial small subunit ribosomal RNA", at positions 8 to 522 of the family's 1533-position model. The record is from RNAcentral. Lineage: Bacteria; Pseudomonadati; Bacteroidota.
AGAGUUUGAUCCUGGCUCAGGAUGAACGCUAGCGGCAGGCUUAAUACAUGCAAGUCGUGGGGCAGCAGGGGUAGCAAUACCCGCUGGCGACCGGCAAACGGGUGCGGAACACGUACGCAACCUUCCUUUAACUGGAGAAUAGCCCCUCGAAAGAGGGAUUAAUACUCCGUAACAUAUACAUGUGGCAUCACAAGUAUAUUAUAGCUCCGGCGGUUAAAGAUGGGCGUGCGCCUGAUUAGAUAGUUGGCGGGGUAACGGCCCACCAAGUCUGCGAUCAGUAACUGGUGUGAGAGCACGACCAGUCACACGGGCACUGAGACACGGGCCCGACUCCUACGGGAGGCAGCAGUAAGGAAUAUUGGUCAAUGGACGCAAGUCUGAACCAGCCAUGCCGCGUGGAGGAUUAAGGCCCUCUGGGUUGUAAACUCCUUUUAUCUGGGAAGAAAUCCGGGAAUUCUUUUCCGGUUGACGGUACCAGAGGAAUAAGCACCGGCUAACUCCGUGCCAGCAGCCGCGGUA